RNAcentral lists this long non-coding RNA (631 nucleotides) under Brassica napus (rape). RNAcentral's name for it is "long non-coding RNA (BNAP_LNC020100)". Lineage: Eukaryota; Viridiplantae; Streptophyta; Magnoliopsida; Brassicales; Brassicaceae. The record is from RNAcentral.
UUGGUUUCGAUCUCAACAUCUUCUCCUUCCAUGAACCAUCCUCUUCAACUCUCCAUGUCAAAGACCCCACCUUUCUUCAUGGUUUGAACUCGCCACACCAGAUCCAUGUUGAAAGCUAUCACCUUUCUUCUAGUACAGUGAGAAAGGGGCGCUUGGAACUGGUUUUCAUGGAGAGGUUAGUAAGGCCACUCCAUAACCUUUUCUUCCAGGGACCUUCUUCCUUCAAGGGCGUUCAUGAGAGAGUGAGACUGGACUGAGAAGAGCUUCUGGACGUCUAGGAUGGAACCUCUUCUUCUUGAAGAUGUAGAACAGCCGGACUGAACAUGAAGCUUCUUAUCAGCUUGAAAUGGCAUGGGAGUGAGCUGUGAGCUUAGGCGGAAGCAACACCAAGUUCAGAUGAACCUGGCUCUGAUACCAUAUGAGAUUUGUAGAGUUCUCUUCUCUGGUUGUAUGUGUGUGUGUGUAUAAACUCCAAUGGAGAAAGAUGAGAGCUUGCUCUAGGUGAUUUAGAAAGAGAGAUUGAUGAGAGUGUUUAUGAGAGAAUAAGAGACUUAGGAACAAAGAUUAAGAGACUGAGAGAUUAGGAGAAUAAGAGAUUAGAGAUUAGGGUUUCAGAUUCAAGAACAAGUUU